UCUGGCACCUGGCUGUCACACAGCUCCGGGCGGGUGCUGCCCGGCCGCGCCGUGCCUUGAACUAGGAUGUUCCCGGGGUGCAGGUCGGCAUGGACAAAGUUGUCAACGAAGAUCUGGAGGACAGGUAAGUGUGAGAGCAGCUCGUUCCAAUCAAACCUGGUGACACCAAAAGCCCCCAGGCAAACGGCAGAGGGUUGUUUGUGGUCUGUUCUCUGUCAUUACCAGUGAUGGGGCAUCACCCUGGGCAGCACCACAGCAGGUGGCUUCUGCUGGAGACCAGCUCGGGUACUCAGGAAGUCAGCAGAGCUGUGUGAAGCAACCCAGUGUUUGCUAGAGGUCAGGUAGGACAGCCAGGAGUCCCAGCAGGGAAUGGCAGUGCCCUUUGGCAAUCAGCUCUAAAAUGGGGCACAGUGGUGGGCCUUAGCAAAGAGUAAUGCAGUAAGAAUAGGCUGUUUGCCAUUCAGUGACAAAGGUUACUGUGACUGGUUACGUUUGUCUAGUGCAGGACACCAACCCACAUAAUAACUCUAUUGAAAAGUAAGGAAAACAAGAGAAGAGGAAAUAAAUCUGUGUAGCCCUUCUCUGACUCUGCUAGUAGUUAGCACCAAAAAGGACUGGCAAGAGGACAAGAACCAAACAGUACUUCCAGCCCCCCACCCCCCUGCCACUACCCUCCUGGUAACCUGGGACUGUAGGACUUCCUGCCCCAAAGAGAUUAUCUUUGCAUUUAAUGGAUUUCUCCUAUGAAUUUUUUCAACUGCCAUGUAAAUAAUUAGAGCUGUGUGAAAAAAUAUGGUUUUGGUGUUGCCCGAAAAAAAUUACUUCUGCUAAUUUUAUGUCCUCCUUAUUGAGAAACCCUACACAACAGAUCCAUAUUCAUUCUCGUGCACUCAUGACUGCAUAAUCUUUGUCAUAAGCUACUCAUCUUUCUGCUUUCCAGAGUUAAGAGUCCAAAUUAUUUCACCAUUCUGGUAUGGAAGCCAUUCCACAUGAAUAAUCAUCCUAUCUGCCUUCCUCUGCACUUCUUCUAGUUCUAUUACAGCCCUUGCAAUGGAGGUUCCUGGGCAUCAACUACAGAGUACUCAAGAAAGAGGCCAAGUGCUCACUUCUGUACAGAGUUGUCUGCUACCUGUCUUCAGGGAUGCACUGCUUUCAAACCAAAAGAGUGGAAGAGACACUAAGGAAGGACAUCAAUCUCCUUAAGCAAAAAGGAAAAAAAGCAUUCUUCUGCCUUUGGUUCCUCCUUCUCAAAAAGAAACACCUCCUUGCCAUGGUCUCCCUGGGACUUUCUCACUGCUACCAUCGCACCCACACCCUGCAAUUCUUACCUCAAAUGUUUCCACUAGAACAUCUGCCGUUACCAAGGGCCAAAGGGGAGUUGGAAACUUCACAAAAUCGACAUCUAGGAAAUUCUGUCGGAAGCGCUCCAGAUUUCUGGCUUCAUAGCGUAAGUCAAUCUCAAGGGACAAAUGGAAAAGCAGGUUGGAAAUCAGAAUCACCUAGGAUUAGAUCUUCAGGAUCCUGUGUGAGCUGCAAUACUCAAUACCAACAAAACUAGUCAGAAAGCCAGAAUGGAAACAAAGGGUGGUGCUUUUUACACGCUCAUAGCCUCCCUGAUGGAAGAGGAGCAGACUGGACAAUGGAUGGUGCACAGCCAGGUCCCAGUCUUUGAAAUAUGGGUGCCUUACUAGAGGCAUGGUGUCUCAAAAUAGACCAGGACCAUGUUACAUUCAAAAAUACAAUAAGAUCCUAAACUGAAUCCUAUCCUGAAUGGAAGCUUGCUGUCCAAACAGCAAGGCAGGCAGACAGGAUAGAAGAACUGCAGCCACAGCCUCACUUCACAGAGAGGCAGCUGUAGCAGGAAGAAAUUUAAUGUAAUUCAUACAAAAUAAUCCACUAUGGCAAGUCCAGGCCCUGGUUCUUCAGUGAUCCAGUGUCUUGACACAAGGGCAUCUCUCCUGCUGUCUGCUACUGCUCAAGGAGGCAGGAUAACCUUGCCUCACCUCAUUUGUCUGGCAGUGGGGGAAUAUCCCAGGAAUACUUCCUUGUUCAUUCAAAGGGAAAAGGCUACAAUGAGCCUAUCAGACGUUCUCCUAACUCUCAGUCUUCUGCAAAUCCACCCAAGCUCUGCCAAACUGGCACGAAUGACCUCAAGUCACAUCUGACCAUAGUAACAGCUCCCAGCAUGGAUUUACUUUGCAGAGGUUUUGGAAUUGUAGAGAAUAAUUAAGGUUUUCAAAAGCUUGUUGCAGACUUCAGACUCUGCAAUCUAGACACAAAAAUGAAAUUAGCAGAUAAUGGCUCAUUUUAUAGAAACAUAAGCCUAAUUAAGCCUGCAGUGAGAUCUUUGUAAGUUUGAUAGUAGCAAUAUUCCAGGACUGUGUCUUUAGAAGACAUUAGUAAAUCAAGAUGUUUUCAGAUGUUUGCAAAAUUUUACUGACACUGUGAGUCUGAUGAUAAUACAGAGUAGAAUGUGUUAUUAACUUCUGUGAAAACAUUAUUUAUGCAUAUAUAUAUAUAUAUAUAUAUGUAAGUUCUAACAAACAUGACUAGUGAGUACAGACUGCAAACAUAUAUAUAGAAUUAUAGAAAAAGCCCACAUGCCUGAGUACUUGCUUGGAGAGAUUCUUUCCUAAAGAGAGGAGUCUCACCAGUGUUCACCUUCCACAAUGCUGCAAAAAGGACUCUGACUAUGGCUAGCUAGCUGUUCAGGCUGCCCACUAGAAAACACAUUCAAAGUCUAAACAUUAUUUUCAAAGUCCAAAAAAUAAUUUUAGAUCUAAUAAAGACUGUUUUUUCAUUGCUUUGCUACUUUGUGAGCGUAUAAGCUUUCCUACAGUAAUGUUAUGUGAUUUGAUUAGACUAAAGAACAGAAGUAAAGAACAAGCUAGCCUUUAUCUACCCAUUUUAAAUGUAGUGGUGUGAACAGAGUUAGAGCCAGCCAGAGCAAGAUAAAGGGCAGUUUUGUUUAGCUGGGGACCAUGGCCUGGCACAUACCUGCUGCAUCAUAAGCUUCUCAAACUCCUCCACUAUUUCUGUCAAACUGAGCCACUUGAACCCAGGGAGAAGCCCAAUGAUGCGGCUGCCCAUCUUCAUGAGAAACAGAUCCAUCUGGACUUGGUGGACCAGCCCAGGGUGCAGGACCUGCACAAGAACGAGCAGUGGCAGCAUCAACCCCCCAGACACUCCAUUGCAAUGACCUCAAGUAAUACAUUUCAAAUAUACAGAACCCAGCUUAUUAGGAUGGGAGGCAACCAGCUUCUUUGGCUAGCCCUCAGAAGAAUUCCCAUUUUGCCAUUGAGAAACAUUUUAUCAUUGUCAAAUUCAGUGUAUCAGUGCUGGAGACUACAGUUUCACCCAAAGACAUUUUGCACUACUUUCAGUCUUGCUCCAUCCCUUGUUAGUAUUUGAAGCUGCUCAAAUAUGAGGUUUCUUUAAAUAAACUUUGCUGGAACGCACUUCUA
Long non-coding RNA from Passer domesticus (house sparrow), 3464 nucleotides. RefSeq lists it as uncharacterized. NCBI's taxonomy places the organism in Eukaryota, Metazoa, Chordata, Aves, Passeriformes, Passeridae. The transcript has 2 exons. The record is from RefSeq and is a predicted model, not a curated record.